This 1903-nucleotide long non-coding RNA is filed under the name Homo sapiens (human). RNAcentral describes it as "DOCK9 divergent transcript (DOCK9-DT)". Lineage: Eukaryota; Metazoa; Chordata; Mammalia; Primates; Hominidae. The record is from RNAcentral.
GCCCGGACGGCGGAGGAGGGGCCGCCGCGGCGGGACGGCGGGCCAGGCAGGUCGGCGCGGCCCGGCGCUGGAGCUAGGCGGCCGGACUGGCAGGGGCGGCGUGCCGCGCGGGACCCUCACUGGGGAAGGUGGGGGGUCGGGGCCGCCUCCGCCCCGGGCCGCACGUCCGAAGACCGGAGGAGGGGACUGCGCACGCCACCAAGAGGGCGCACAGCCGAGGCUGGACGAUGCGCGGUUUCGGAGCAGGGUUUCCUGCCCAGGGAGCCCGGCUGCGCUCGAGGGGACCCCGAAGUCACCGGCAGGGUCGGAGCUCGGUGCACCACGCCCCCCCUCUGCGCCCGGGGCCUCUGCGGGGACAGAGGUCUCAGGAAAGUAGCCUUUAUUUAUGUGGCACCGAUCGGAACCCGCGGCCGGCCAGGCGGACCUGGACGGAGCGUCCCUGCUCGGAACCUGGCGCGGGGCGCCGCGCGCUCGUGUGGCGCCUCGGCCUCCCCACCGUUCAGUCCCCGGAGGCACGGAGCUCGCGGCGGGACGAUGACGGUUGGGCCGGGCCAGGCGUGGGAGACUCCCAGACUCCGGCCCGCCGGGACGGCCAGCUGCGUCACCUUGGACGUGGGCAAUACUUCGGAGCCUCGGUUAUGUCGCCUGUAACCUGAGGACAACGGCCUGGAAGGGGCUCAGGUGACACGGCGGCCCUCACUGGGGCCGAUUUAGCCGGUCUGCCGCCCCUCCGCGCCGGACCGCCAGGCGGGGUACCAGGGAAACUGCGAUGCGCCGGCUUGCGAGCCCACCGUGACGCAGAGCUGGCGGCCGCUAGCGACAGCCACCCUGUGAGGGACUUUCCCCCCAAUACCCUAACCGCUUUCCUGUCCCUAAGGGCCCGCUCCCGCCCCGGCUCCGUUUCUGUCUCUCUGAGGAAGCCCGGCGCAGCCUAACCCUCACAGGGCCGCGGAGAGGGCGCGCCAGGCGGGGAUUUGCGCCAGGCCCGCGGCGCAUGCUCAGUGGUUGGGGACUGGGCGGGUACCCCGGGCGGGGAGCCUGACUGAACGGCGGCUCUGCUGAUUGGUCGGGCUGCUCACGCCACGCCCGUUGCCUUCCGAUGGACAGUUCCUUACCUGCCGGGUCGGCCUCCGCAGAGAGUGGUGGUCUUGAAAACCCAGUUUUGGGAGAAUACCUGCCGCGCCUCCCGCCCAAAUACCCAGAGGUUUCAUAGCCGCCAUCGCUGCGGUGGAGGAGGCCGCCUGUUGCGUCCCACCCCACCAGAAAGCCUAACACUGGCCUGAAGCGUAAUCUUAAAGUGGUAGGGGAAAAUACCGAUCUAGCGCAGAGAGCAAAACACCUCCGUUCUGGGUUUAAUGGGCAGGUCUGGAGGUGAGGUAUGCCGUCCGCACUCAAUAAUUACUUGCAGGAUCGGAUUGUUUCUCCAGUGGGUGGGGACUGCAGGAUGUAGCAUUGAGUGAGCCUGGCAGAUUGAAAGAUAAAACAAGGGUGAUGAUAAAAACAAUUACACACUAACCCAUUUCCUCCUCCGUGAAAUGAGGGAAUGGCCCAGACAUUUUCCAGACCUCUUCUGUCCUAAGAGUGGAGCUGGGUGACAGAGCAGGUGCAAGCCGGCCUUUCCCUGCCUCCCCGGGGAACGCACUCUGUUCGGUGAGAGCAACUCAGCUCGCAUUGACUCCUUUCAGCUGCAGGAGUGUGGCCGUUCAGUUCUCAUUUGAACUGUUGACAACAGUUGUCUUCUGAGAAUCAUGAGUUAGAGCCUCCCUUUAGGCUUCUGACUCCCUCAAAAGUACCAGACAACACAAACUUUUCCCCUCUUGUUACCUUGGCUCUCUAAGCUGUAUCUACUUCUAUACAAGGCGAACAAUUUUGUCUUUUUAAAUUAAAAACAACAACAAAAGCA